ACCAAACAGAAUAAACAGCACUGGAAGUUACUGAGGUUACCUUGCCCUUCCUAUUUCUAUCUUCUUUCAGGGCCCUGAUAAGCCAUCCGUGUGAUUGCUGCUGCUGUACCAAGUUUCCCUCGCAGCCCUAAUGAAACCUGGGUGAAAUCUAUGCAGCUUCCCUCCUGCUGCUUCAUUAUCCAGGAGAAGCAAAUUGUGUUCGAAGAAGUACGGCAGAUGGGGACAACUCUUCCACGAUUUUGAAAUGCUUCUCCUCAAGCCCCUUUGUUCUAACAAUCUCACCAAGAAGCAGAGUUCAUGAAGGCAGUGAAUAUGAGCAGGCCUGUACCAAGGACCAUGGCAGAGGUCUUCACGGCAUCCCAGAGCUUCUCUUCCUAUACAGCCCAUCACAGAUACAAUUUGAUUCUAGUACUGGGAGUACGACUUGUCUAGAAGGUACCAUGUGUGAUCUGUACAGAAUAACUGCCCUAUAACAAGAAGUUAAAAUACACAACUUCAGAGAAGUAGGAAGUUCACUACAUUCCUGUUCUCAGUCAUGGAAGUGUUACCUACUAAACAAAUAUCCCCAUUUCCUGCUGCCCAGAUAGUCCCAAGCUGAGACUGCACAAGCGCCUGCUUCUCCUUGUACUGUACCCAGUCUCCUAUUGCAUCGCAUCCUUCUGACACCAGCUAAGUCCUGCUGCUGUCAGGUACAGCUGGAUAACUGUCUGCAGUGAUGGAGUGGCUGCCAACCCCGUUGUUUGGUAUUUUUUUCCUUCCUGCUUGAAACUUCUACUUUAGAACUUCAUUGGAAUCAAGCUUUGUAGUACAUAGACAGUGGAAAUGUUGCCCGGGAGAAAUAAGAGAACGACUGUGAAAGUACAGAACCUAUAGAGAGGAGAAAAGUAAGGACAA
Long non-coding RNA from Anas platyrhynchos (mallard), 894 nucleotides. RefSeq lists it as uncharacterized. Lineage: Eukaryota; Metazoa; Chordata; Aves; Anseriformes; Anatidae. The record is from RefSeq and is a predicted model, not a curated record.